Haemonchus contortus (barber pole worm) is the source of this 75-nucleotide non-coding RNA. NCBI's taxonomy places the organism in Eukaryota, Metazoa, Nematoda, Chromadorea, Rhabditida, Trichostrongylidae. The record is from Rfam.
GGCCCAAAUUUGAAGUACAGUAGAUUAGUAGGGUUGGCUGAGACUACUGAUCUACUGUUCUUCAAAUUUGGGCCC